UACCAGCUCUCCGAGUGGUGUGGAUGUUUAUUGGGCCUAAAGCAUCCGUAGCUGGCUAGGUAAGUCCCUUGUUAAAUCCACCGAAUUAAUCGUUGGAUCGCGGGGGAUACUGCUUGGCUAGGGGACGAGAGAGGCAGACGGUAUUUUCGGGGUAGGGGUGAAAUCCUAUAAUCCCGGGAAGACCACCAGUGGCGAAGGCUGUCUGCUAGAACGCGCCCGACGGUGAGGGAUGAAAGCUGGGGGAGCGAACCGG
This 253-nucleotide ribosomal RNA is filed under the name uncultured archaeon. RNAcentral's name for it is "partial 16S ribosomal RNA". It matches the Rfam family "Archaeal small subunit ribosomal RNA", at positions 474 to 727 of the family's 1478-position model. The record is from RNAcentral.